Molecule: long non-coding RNA, 667 nt
Organism: Oncorhynchus masou masou (cherry salmon)
Lineage: Eukaryota; Metazoa; Chordata; Actinopteri; Salmoniformes; Salmonidae
Exons: 3
Source: RefSeq, a predicted model, not a curated record
GCACCCUAUUGAGUGCACUAUUUUUGACUAGAGCCCUACCUGCUGCCCCUGAUGGUAUGUAUGUAGUUAUUCACCAGCUAUAGAGUGAGUUGUUGUUUAUGUUUCUAAGACUGCAGGGUGGGAGAUGCAACAAUGGCCUUGAGAACAGCAGGAAGUGUGUUGGGGGUCUUUCUCUGGUCUGUAGCAGUGGUACUGGGUCAGGGUGUCUGGAGUGUGACCUACACCAAGAAUAGUAUCUGUGCCUUGAAGGGGUCAACAGUGGAUCUGUCCUGCUCUUACACAUAUCCCAGAGGUCAUAAAGUUACAACAACCACAUGGUAUAACUGGAAGAUGGGUGUCUGGUAUACUUAUGAUAUCCAAGAUAUGAAUGAGGGCCGUAUGGAGUACCGGGGGAAUAAGGAGAAUGACUGCACCCUGACAAUCACAGACCUGAAAUGGAGUGAUACUGCAGCAUAUUAUUUCAUGUUUUCAACAAAAUCCUCCUCUUGGAUUCCUCGCAAUGACUAUGUCACUCUCAUUGUCACAGAACUGCAGGUGGAGGUAACAGACACAAGUAAUAGGAAGACACUGUCCUGUAGCACCACCUGUACUCUGAGUAACCCCAACACCAUCUAUAUCUGGUACAAGAACGGACAACAUCUAGAUGAGAGCACCUCCCCCAGUACAA